UGUAGGGAAUAUAAUCAAAAUUACAUACGAGAAAUUAUUUACAGAAUGCCAGAGAUGAAAUUUUUGGUAAUUUGCAAUGGAAACAUGUCACUCAGUAAUUCACCCGUGUAGUUAUAGGUCUAAGCUUACAGGAGAACCAACCUUAAAAUGCAGAUUUGAGUUCCAACUCUCAUAAGUGGGGAUGCCAUGGUAUUAGAGACCAUUUAUACUUUCCGUCGCCGCGUUCUUCUGACAAAAGCAUCUCCCUUUACAUUAACAACUUCUGAUGCUGAUUUCUCCAAGAAAAUCUUGUGUCCCUUUUUCUGUCCCUUCUUUCCCUUAUCAGGAAAAGAAGUCAUUCCAUUACAAAACUUUUCAUUUUCCUUGUUUGCGAAGUUCUUUGACUGUGUGCUGGCACAAUCUCCGAAUGCAUUCACAGUUUCUCUCUGACCCCCAAGAGAUGAGCACCCAACGAGAUCACAAUCACUUGAAUGGAAUGCGUUUGACUCAUCUGCCAAUGUCAUCUCC
Molecule: unclassified non-coding RNA, 507 nt
Filed under: Hevea brasiliensis (rubber tree)
Lineage: Eukaryota; Viridiplantae; Streptophyta; Magnoliopsida; Malpighiales; Euphorbiaceae
Source: RNAcentral